This 282-nucleotide ribosomal RNA is filed under the name Triticum aestivum (bread wheat). RNAcentral describes it as "partial small subunit ribosomal RNA". The record is from RNAcentral. Lineage: Eukaryota; Viridiplantae; Streptophyta; Magnoliopsida; Poales; Poaceae.
AUGGCUCGGCCCGACGAGGUUUGUUUUUUGUGGUCACACAGACGGAUUGGAGAUGGCCAGAGGGCUGAGAUAUUGGCGAUGGAAGUAGCCGGGAUAAGAAAUCAUAUUAUAAUGGAUAACUUCAUCAGUAGAUACGGUUCGUACAAUAAGUGCGGGCUUAUCAGGAGAGAUAUUUACAAUCUUUGGUGCAGAGAAAAAAUGAAGCUCAUUGCAAAGGGUGAUGCAGAGACGACAGUUGGCAUUAUGAGAAGCAGGAAGGAGAAGGACCCUGAGUUUUUUUGA